Molecule: ribosomal RNA, 347 nt
Filed under: Mesonerilla sp.
Lineage: Eukaryota; Metazoa; Annelida; Polychaeta; Nerillidae
Description: partial 28S ribosomal RNA
Rfam family: Eukaryotic large subunit ribosomal RNA
Source: RNAcentral
NNCGACCUGAGAUCAGACGAGAUUACCCGCUGAAUUUAAGCAUAUCACUAAGCGGAGGAAAAGAAACUAACAAGAAUUCCCCUAGUAACGGCGAGUGAAGCGGGAAGAGCCCAGCGCCGAAUCCCUAUCUUGUGGGUAGCGAGAGUUGUGGCGUUUAGGACAGCCUUUGUUGCGACGUUCAUCUGUCCAAGUCCGUCUGAUUGCGGCCUAUCCCAUAGUGGGUGUCAGGCCUUUACCGGCAGUUGACGUAGUANUCUGANCGUCCUUGGAGUCGNGUUGUUUGGGAAUGCAGCCCAAAGUGGGUGGUAAACUCCACCUAAGNCUAAAUNCUGACACGAGACCGAUAG